RNAcentral lists this ribosomal RNA (253 nucleotides) under uncultured bacterium. RNAcentral describes it as "partial 16S ribosomal RNA". It matches the Rfam family "Bacterial small subunit ribosomal RNA", at positions 524 to 776 of the family's 1533-position model. The record is from RNAcentral.
UACGGGGGGGGCAAGCGUUGUUCGGAAUUACUGGGCGUAAAGGGCUUGUAGGUGGCCAACUAAGUCCGACGUGAAAUCCCUAGGCUUAACCUAGGAACUGCGUCGGAUACUGGAUGGCUUGAAUCCGGGAGAGGGAUGCGGAAUUCCAGGUGUAGCGGUGAAAUGCGUAGAUAUCUGGAGGAACACCGGUGGCGAAGGCGGCAUCCUGGACCGGUAUUGACGCUGAGGUGCGAAAGCGUGGGGAGCAAACAGG